Molecule: ribosomal RNA, 1092 nt
Filed under: Vignadula atrata
Lineage: Eukaryota; Metazoa; Mollusca; Bivalvia; Mytilida; Modiolidae
Description: 16S ribosomal RNA
Rfam family: Bacterial large subunit ribosomal RNA
Source: RNAcentral
UUAUCGUUAGAGCUGUCCUCAGAUAUAAAAGUAUGUGUAGAAAUCAGUACCUUUUGUAUAAGCGCCUGUUAAGUUGUCAUAUGUAUUAUAUUGCCCCCGAAUAUGGGGAAUCUAUUUUGUUUAGAAUCAGGUGCGUGGCAUAGCGCUUGCUAAAUUCAAAAUAAUUGGUUAUAUGCCUUUUGCUCCUAUGGUUAUCUGGUUGGUUCCGAAAAGCAUUUAGUGCUGGCUUUGUUUAUAAGUCUGACAACUUAUUGGACAAGCAAUAAGUUUUUGUAUUGACAGAGGUGAAAGGUUAAGCUUGGGUGGCUUUAAUAUUGAGUAUCUUUAGUUUGUUAUAAAUAAUGUUUGUGUGACUGCAAUACAUACUUAUGUCAUUGGGGUGUAGGAACCUAGGUCUUGUAAGUUCAUAACUAUGAUUGGAUGAGUAGAACGAAAUUAUGCCUAUAGCUCGUUAAUUUUUUAUUAAGUUAGUGAGAGGUAAGAGUGUUUUAAAUUAAAAUUUAUCUAAUGAACUCGGCAAUACGGCCUCUCGAAUGUUUAUCAAAAACAUUUCUUUAAGUAGAUUUAAAGUAGGCCCUGCCCACUGCGUAAGUAAAGGGCCGCAUUAGCCUGAGUGUGCUAAGGUAGCGCGAUAAUUUGCCUUUUAAUUGGAGGCUGGUAUGAAAGGGUUGACGUGGGGGAUUCUGUGUCGGAUGAAUGUAAUUGAAGUUAAUUUUAAGGUGAAGAAGCCUUAAUACCCUAGAAGGACGAUAAGACCCUAGAAGCUUCGUUUUUUAUUUUGUAAUUUAGUUUUGUUGGGGCAACAGGGCUAGUAACUAUGGCUCUUAGGUUAGACUUUCCUACUGGAGUGAGACUGCUGAGGUAUGAGUGGUUAAGUUACUUUAGGGAUAACAGCGUUAUUUCUUUUGAUAGUUCGUAUUGGAAAAGAAGUUUGCGACCUCGAUGUUGAAUUAAGGUGUCCUUUAGUUGUAGGAGACUAAAAAGGUUGGUCUGUUCGCCCAUUAAAACCUUACAUGAUUUGAGUUCAGACCGACGUGAGUUAGGUCAGUUUCUAUCCUCUAGAUGUUUACCUCUUCUUGGUACGAAAGGACU